RNAcentral lists this non-coding RNA (30 nucleotides) under Rattus norvegicus (Norway rat). Lineage: Eukaryota; Metazoa; Chordata; Mammalia; Rodentia; Muridae. The record is from RNAcentral.
UGAGAGGACAGAGUGUUGAAUGAAACAAAU